Molecule: ribosomal RNA, 506 nt
Filed under: uncultured bacterium
Lineage: Bacteria
Description: partial 16S ribosomal RNA
Rfam family: Bacterial small subunit ribosomal RNA
Source: RNAcentral
AGUGAACGCUGGCGGUAGGCCUAACACAUGCAAGUCGAACGGCAGCACAGGAGAGCUUGCUCUCUGGGUGGCGAGUGGCGGACGGGUGAGGAAUACAUCGGAAUCUACUCUGUCGUGGGGGAUAACGUAGGGAAACUUACGCUAAUACCGCAUACGACCUACGGGUGAAAGCAGGGGACCUUCGGGCCUUGCGCGAUGGAAUGAGCCGAUGUUGGAUUAGGUAGUUGGCGGGGUAAAGGCCCACCAAGGCGACGAUCCGUAGCUGGUCUGAGAGGAUGAUCAGCCACACUGGAACUGAGACACGGUCCAGACUCCUACGGGAGGCAGCAGUGGGGAAUAUUGGACAAUGGGCGCAAGCCUGAUCCAGCCAUACCGCGUGGGUGAAGAAGGCCUUCGGGUUGUAAAGCCCUUUUGUUGGGAAAGAAAUCCAGCUGGCUAAUACCCGGUUGGGAUGACGGUACCCAAAGAAUAAGCACCGGCUAACUUCGUGCCAGCCGCCGCCGUAA